This 253-nucleotide ribosomal RNA is filed under the name uncultured bacterium. Its description in RNAcentral is "partial 16S ribosomal RNA". It matches the Rfam family "Bacterial small subunit ribosomal RNA", at positions 524 to 776 of the family's 1533-position model. The record is from RNAcentral.
UACGUAGGGGGCAAGCGUUAUCCGGAUUUACUGGGUGUAAAGGGAGCGUAGACGGCGACGCAAGUCUGAAGUGAAAGGCGGGGGCCCAACCCCCGGACUGCUUUGGAAACUGUAUGGCUGGAGUGCAGGAGAGGUAAGUGGAAUUCCUAGUGUAGCGGUGAAAUGCGUAGAUAUUAGGAGGAACACCAGUGGCGAAGGCGGCUUACUGGACUGUAACUGACGUUGAGGCUCGAAAGCGUGGGGAGCAAACAGG